Non-coding RNA from Microcebus murinus (gray mouse lemur), 1153 nucleotides. NCBI's taxonomy places the organism in Eukaryota, Metazoa, Chordata, Mammalia, Primates, Cheirogaleidae. The record is from RefSeq and is a predicted model, not a curated record.
UGACAUUAAAGAACAGAUAAUCAUAAAAUGUCUGAGUCAUUUCUAGAGUCAAAAAAAAUUUUUUCUUUCUUUUGAGCUAUUUAUAGCUUACAGCAAUUGGUCAAAAUAGACUUUUGUGAGCAAAACUGAAACAUUUACCUUUCCCUCAACCUGAUUUCUCCAAAAUUUGGAAACUGUUCGUCAGAAGUCCACCAUGGUCUCGAUGCGCUACAGUGGAGGUGGGGGCGGCCACGUUCCCUUGUGGAAGGUCCAGGGAAGAUUCCAUUUGCAGCUCCUCCUGGCCGCCUACCUGCCUCGCCUGGGGGCUCCCUCCCUCCGCUCUGGAAACCUGCCGUGUUGAAUCUCUCUCCUUCCACAGACACACCUCUGUCUCUGACGACGGCUGGGGAAGGUUCUCCACUUUCAAGGACUCGUGUCAUUAGGUCAGUCCCAUCUGGAUAAUCCAAGCUAAUGUCCCCACCUCGAAAUCCUUAAUGGGAUCACAUCUGAAAAAAAGUCCCCUUCACCAUGUAAAAUAACAUAGUCACAGGUUACAGGGGCUUAUGAUGUGGACAUCUUUGGAGAAGGGGACAUUAUUUUGCUGAGCAGAGAUACCCCAGACUCCAGCCACCAAAGCACUCAUCACAUCUCAUCAAACACAAGACCUCAUCACUGUGUACUGGUCCCUCUGCCUGCAAAGUUCUUUCUCGUCUGCCCAAUUCCUACUCAGACCUUCAAGGCUGAACUCAAAAGCCCCCUUCCUCUGGGAAGCCUUUCCUAAUUCCCCCAAGCAGAACUAGUGACACGGCUAGUAUGUUAGGAAAAUCUCUCUCUCUGAUACUUGUCACUUGGCAUUUGAAUUAUGCGUCUACUUGUACAUCUUCCAGUAGCCUGCAAGCAAUUUAAGAGUAAAAACUGAUUUAUUCAACCCCACAUCCCCACCACUCAUCACAACGCCUGGUGCAGGGUAGGGUUUAAGAAACACUGACGGAAUGAACGACUGAAUCUUCUCUAUUUUGCUGUGGAGUGCACCCACCAUCCAAUAUGCAAUCCAAACUAUGACUUUAUGUGUCUGUUGUUGUUGUUUUUCCACAUGCCCGGCCCAUGAUCCAACCUUAAUAAAUACUUGCUGAGCAAAUAAAUUUAUACUUAUACCUAAUAUGUACUAAGCAUU